RNAcentral lists this non-coding RNA (29 nucleotides) under Mus musculus (house mouse). Lineage: Eukaryota; Metazoa; Chordata; Mammalia; Rodentia; Muridae. The record is from RNAcentral.
UGAGGGACAAGUCUAAGAAUCUCAGGGCA